RNAcentral lists this long non-coding RNA (309 nucleotides) under Homo sapiens (human). RNAcentral's name for it is "HSALNT0288086". Lineage: Eukaryota; Metazoa; Chordata; Mammalia; Primates; Hominidae. The record is from RNAcentral.
AACACCUCCUGUGUCAUCUGUCUUCAUUUCUUUUGCAGGUGAAGUUGCAGGACCCCAUCCACCCCUCAGUAGAUUGUAUUCUCAUCCUUAUCUAACCUUAUUGCCUCUCACACUCUAUGUUCCAGGAUGAAAUUCCAAGACAAUGGAGGAGUGUCCCUUCAUGAUGUGGAGAACCUGCUUGGCUCGAAACUGAAUUUGAGGAAAGGUGAUUUGGAUGCUGGCCUGUCUUGAUCCACCUUCAAAUUCACUGCGGAUUUAAGAUUUACAUAAAAAUAAAGAACAUGGAGCCCCAGAACUGACCAGAGCCAC